Drosophila yakuba is the source of this 15503-nucleotide long non-coding RNA. RefSeq lists it as uncharacterized. The transcript has 2 exons. The record is from RefSeq and is a predicted model, not a curated record. Lineage: Eukaryota; Metazoa; Arthropoda; Insecta; Diptera; Drosophilidae.
GUUUUCGUUUCGUUUUCAGUCCGCAUUGCUGUGUGAGCUGUGUGCGCUGUGUGUUAUCGUCAUCGAGGUCGGUCGACGUCGGUCGCUGAGUCGCAUGUGUUUCGCAUUUUUCUACCCCCGACCCUGCCAAUGCCCAUUUCCCCUGCCCCUGCCCCAGUACAUUGCCUCUGUCCCUGUCCCUGUUCUCUGCCCCGGUUCGCCUUGUUUGCCUGUCUGCCUCUGGGUUUUGCCUUGCCACUGCCGCAUGUCUCAUCAUCGCAUUUCAUCCCUCGUCGUCGUUGCGUUCUCGUUCGCGUUCGCGUCUGCAGCUGUAUUUUCGGUGUUAUUUUUGGUAUAGGGGCUGGAGCGAGUCUAGACAUGCUGGCCGUCCGGACUCCGGAUGGUUCGCCCUUUUGGGACCGAAUCAACCAAACCAACCAAACCAAGAGCCAACCAUACAACGUCUUCUUUGGCGGCAGCGAGAAGUCCCUUCUCGGAAUUAUUGGUUUUGCUCCGUACCCAUUGCCAUUCCGGCUCGGCUGACUCAUGCUUAUCUUCGCAGUCGUCGUUUUAAAGGCGAGGCGGCGCUCACUCAUUGCUCAUUGCUCAUUGUUCUGUUGACAACUGGUCGUAUGUGUAAUGCAGCCGAAGCUCGUUGCGCAUACGUCGUGUGCGCUUAAAAGCUGCGCCAAAAACCAAUCAGCUAAAAGCUCACCCCCCUCAAUCAAAUCAAAUCGCAUCAGCUGAGCUUCGCAACGGGAAAACCCAAGCGAGCAUCAACAUCAACAACAGCGCGCACACAAAAAAUAUAAAGAAAAAUAAAACUUUCUACGCUAAUUUUCGUUGGAAUGGAGAAAUGCUGGCCAUCAUUAUAAGCCAGAAAACAGAAAACAAAAUUUAUACAAUGCUGGCCAUCAUCUUGGGACUGGCUGACUGCCUGACUAGCUGACUGGCUGACUGUCUGGCUGGCUGAUGAUGAUGAUUUUCGAGCUGCGUUCGCUGGCAAUGUUGCUGGAAGUUGAAUUUUAUUGCCACACCAACAUCACUCAGGCAGUUUUAAGCGGCAACAGCGACCAGGCACCGCAGCAGCAACACAAAAGCCAGUACCCGUCAAGCGUUCGUUGCUUUUUACCCACCAGCAACAUCUACAGCAACACUUGCGCAGCAAUAACAACAGCAGCAGCAGCAUUUUACGCUUCGCCAGCAACUCGUUUCAGCUGGCACUGGCAGCGGACUGAAAACUGAAAACUGACUGAAAAAGCAGGAGGAGAUUGGCGGAGCGAGGGGCGUGGGUCUCCGUCUCCGGCUCCGACUUCGACUGGCUCCAAAAUGACGGCCCGAGUCUAAAGCUCGCACGCAGCGUCGCUGCAGUUGUUGCUGUUGCUGUUGCUGCUGCAUUUCAGGUUAUGAGCCAAACAAGCAGCCAGCGAACAGAAACCAACCCAACCUGAGAGCCGGAGCCAGUCAUCGUCAGCAGCAACAGCCACAGCAACAGCAAAAGCAACACGAAACGAAAUGUUUGGCCGAAAGGCAGAGCCAAGAGCUAAGAGCCAGGAGACAGUGGGCUAAAACUGACCUAAAAGUGUUUUCUAUGCCAACAUCCCGGAGUUAAAUAUGAAAAUUUCUAUUUUAGUACUAGACAGAUGAGAUCUUUUCUGUUUCCAACAGGCUUUUUAUCAAUGAGUAGCUAUACGUUGUAGGGUUCUAUAGCUAAAGGACCUAAAAGUAAUAGUAAUGUAAUAGUAAUUUUUGAGAAUUUUACAAAGCAAUCUAAGCUCAGGCGUAAUUUAAAAUUCAAUAAAAUACAAAAUUUUAACUUUUUGGUAAUUAAUAGCACAGAAAAUGUAGCUUGGAGCAAUAUUUUUUCCUAUAUUAUACUUUUAUUAAGACCCAAUAUUAUUUCCCAAAUAACAUUCCAUCCCAUUGUGCCGUUCGAGAGUCGACUUCCAAGCAUUUAAGUCGGUCGCCGUUGUCGUUGCCGUUGUCGUUGUCGUUGUUGCUACCUCCAGUGCCUCGGCUCUGAAACUCCGGCUGGCUUUAACUCUGGGCUGUGGGCUUUGGCUUGGGCUGUGGCUGUGGGUCUGGGCCUGGCUACGACUGUGGCUCUGGCCCGAUCCACUCCGGUCGUAGCGGGUCUGGUGCUCUGGUCUGGGGGCCCCACUUUGAAUUCUUCGGCUGGGGCGCACAGCACAACGUGCGAUAGCUGCGAAUCGAGUCGAGUCGAGUCGAGUCGAGCCGAGAGCCGCACAUAAAAAACAACGUCAAGAGAAACAAAAAUAAAGAAAGAAAAAAAUAACAAGUAGAAGCAAAAAAGCCGAGUUUCGGCUUUCGAGCUGGGUUUGGGUCUGGGUUUGGGUUUGGGUUUUGAGCCGCGAUCUCCGCCAAAGCAAUUUAAGUGUACGAGUCAAAGAGGAAGAAGAAACUUUGGAAACAUAAAAAAGAGCGCGCGCGGCCCGAAGACAACGACGAUGGGGCAUAAUAAAAAAAAUUACCAGCAAGCUGGGUUCAACGGAGUUGAAUAAGAAGAAGACGAAGACGAAGCGGUCUUCAGCUCAUCAUAAUAAAAAUGAAUUGAAUUGAAGACAGGGGCGAAGACGCACCAGCACCACCAGCACUACCCGCUCUCCCACUCUUCUUUCUCGAGCCCAGUUCUCUUAGUUUAGUUGCUGGUUGUGGAUCUGGAUCUGGAUGUGGAUGUGGAUCUGGAUCUGGACAUGGAUGUGGAUGGGAAGCUCGAGAUGACGCCGAUAUGGUGGCUGGUCCCUCGGAGUUUCCCAUGCUGGCUCAGUUAUUUUUCCCUCCCUCAUGGUGAAAACUUUGAAUGCAAACACCCACAACAAUAACAGAGCUAUUUGCUUAUAGCGGCACAUGACGAUGUGGGAACGGAAAGAUGUUCAAGCCAGGCUUUCCCACUAACUCAACGCUAGUUCCCCUCUCGGAGGUAUAGCAUUUGUAAUGUUAAAAUGAAUACCAACUAUGCAAUUAAAAGUGUAUACGAAUUAAACAAAUCUAGUAAUAGCUUUUCAUAUUUUUACUACAAUCCCCCAAAGAAAUAUGUUAUCGAUGGUAAUAAUACUUUAUCCAUAUGUUUUAACGAAUAUUUUGGGCUUUAAUUCCACUGUAUGGAUAUUUGUAAAAUGGUCCACUCAAUAGUUGCAAGACUGUUUGUUUACCCAAACAUGAAUCAAGGCUGUGCUAGAGAGCUACGGAUGGGCUGUGCUUUUUGGAUUGGGUGGAGUUCGUGGGCUGCGUUGUAGGUGGCAGUCUUUUUUGAUGUGCGCAUAUUUUGCGUCGGCCAUUUCAUGUUGCCGCACCACGGAGUUCGCCGCACGACUGACAGACACAAAACCCCCGAUUCCGAUUCCGAUUUCGAUACCGAGUUUCGAGUGCGAGUCCCCGUGUCGAUGUGGAUGUGGAUGUGGGGACGUCGAUUGGCGGCAGAGGCAGAGGCGGAGGCAGCGGCCGCGACGGAGACAGGAAGCCACCGCGACGGCGGCGUCGUCGACCAAAUCAGCUGUUUUUGGCGAAUUAGAGCAAUUUUCAAUGCACGCCGCUUGCUGUUUCUGCCUUCUUUUUUUUGCGGCUUUUUGUUGCGCGCUUCAUGUCGAAGAUUUAUAAGCAGCGACGUCGGCAGCGAAGUUGGCAUCGCAAUUGGUGACAUUGAAAAUUUGCAAGGCAUCUCUCGCUCUUCCCACUUUGCGUACGUGAGUGUCAGUGUAUGUGAUUUGGCGAAAUGGGGGAACAGCUGACAACAUACAUUACCCAUACGAGAGGAGGCCAAGUGGGGGAUGUGUGGGAGAUGGGGGUUAAGAAUGGUAACUUUUGGUCAAUGAACCAUACCUCCCAGCCUCGCCUGCUUUCUAUCAAGGCAACUCAACUCAGCUGUUUCUGCGAUGUGUACGGCAAAGGCAGAGUUCGGCAUUUCGUGAAACGUGAGUCGAGACCCUCACAAAUCCCAAUACCAGCCAUCCAACCAUCCAACCAACCCAUAUCAUCAUCAUCCCAUUCCAUUGUAAGCCGCCCAAGGGUCGGGCGAGCAUUUUUACCUAAGGUCGAGAACCAUAAUCCCCGAAAAGGAUGCAGCGCAUUAGACACGCCAGUGGGUUCGGGCUCAAUUUCGGUUUUCUAGGAUUGCAGCACUCACUUUCUACCUGACCAACCCAAGCGAUCCAUCAAUAUGCCAUUCCGACUGUCGAGACUUUAAGGACGAAUUCGACUGUGAUUGAACCUUUGCCAAGUAGCGGGACGACUUGAGAUGGGAAUGAAAUUGCCAGGAAAUCAACCUGUUGGUCGAUUGAUUGCCCAGUCCAGCUAAUAAGAAGAGGUCUGAGCAAUGGUGGGCCCUUCCUACGAUCGGAAUUAAUAGGAAUAUUGACACCAACUUAUAAGUUUUUAACUCUAAUCUUAUAUUUAACUCAAUUUUUAGAUUAUAAUAAAGCACGAUCCUACAGACUUUAAAAAGUGAUUAUAUAGUAAUACCCAUCUAAAAUAAGUGCUUUCGAUAUUGAGAGCAUAUGAACCUUUAUAUAACAUUCUCCAGUUAUUUAUUUUUAUCGAAUUCAUUUGAAGAUUGGCUCUAAAUACGACGAACCUUUUCAAAUACACCGCAAUGAUGUCUAGAUCUCUAAAAUCAAACGCCUUAAUAUCUUUACCAUUUCUGAACCCACGAGGUGUGGUGAUAGUAGAAUGGUGAUCCUCAAUAGCUUCCCCACUUGGGCAGAUAGCCGAUGAUCAUCGAUCUGCAUGCAAAAAUUUCUGCCGUGCGGCUCUUAUCACGCAGACCAGCUGAUAAGACAAGAGCACGAGUAGAGCGACCAGAGCAAAAGAGAGUUGAGUUGAGUUGCGUCAAGUGCGCUAAUCGCUCCGAAUCGGAACCAGGGCUACAGCCAACGAGCAACAACAAUUGCCGUUAACAAUUGUCGGAGCGACAGCACACUGCGCAAAUUGCACGUCGCGCAGUGUACGAGGCAACAACAGCUAUCGAGGCGUACGUACGUACAUUCACCAAGCCGCUUGGUAAACACAAAAUUACAAAAACAAAAAAAAUACCAUGGAAAAAACUGUGGGUAUAUAUGUACGUAUGUUUGUACAUAUAGCCCCAACCAACAAAGACUCCACUCCACAUCCCAUGCAUACAUAUGUACAUCCACAGCUACAUCCAAUGUUGCUGACUCGACUCACCGCAUACAUACAGACACUCCGUUCGUAUAUAUGUACAAACAUGUACAAGCGAACGAGCCGAACGACCGACACACGAAGUACAGUCGCACAGUUAAAAAUAAAGUAUGGGCCGCUGCAACGCGAAGGGGAAAGGGAGAUGACACGAGAGAGAAGGCAUGCAAAGAGAAGAGAAGAGAGCGAGCGAGGGUAAAACAACAAAGCGAAUGCUGGUAAAUAAUGAUGAUGGAACCAGUGUGCUGUAUGUGCAUGUUGGUAUGUGUUCCGAUGGGAGUAUGUGUGUGUAUACUGCACAGUAAAAUUUCAUGUAUUAAAAUCGCUUGUUCGUGUAUAUGCAUGUACACUGUACAGGGUAAGAGCUGCCAUCGCUGUGCUGUUGAUAGCGAGGGACGUAAUAUCGCAACUUUUGCCGUUCCAAAAGCACGGAGCCAAGCGAACGUUCGUUCGUUCGUUCGCUGGUUCGUUCGAGUUUAAUUUUGUAGUAUGUAGCAGGAAAAAAAGAAACGACGAAAAAAUAAAUGAUGGCGGCAACAACAACGACUCGUCGUCGACUGAGUCGGCAGUGUUGCGUUCCGAUUUUUGUUGAAAAUAUUUUUGUUUCUUUUUGCGUUUCGAAAACACUCGAUGUGCCAAAGAAAGAAGAGUAGAUGGGGAAGAAGAAGAAAAGGAACAGGCAGAGGCUUACAGCGACCGUUUUUCUAGUGCGUUUCGCUUAGAAUGGCAAAAAUCUCAAAGGGGACGAAGAAUCCCACCCCAAAAACCCCCCGCUUUCAGUUGUAGUAUGGUAAGUGGUAAGUACGGCGCGCUCGUUUUAGCGAAGGUUGCUAGCGUGGUGGGAUAACGGAUGUUGGAUAUUGUAUUCGUCGGAUGUCGGACAACGGCCGCAGCGUAGCGCGCGCAAAUUCACGUAGUUUGAAUCGGUUUCGGAUUUGAACUCGCCAGCGCAGCGCCACAAAGCUAACGGAUCGAACCAAGGUUGCCCGCUGGCAUUUUCCUACGGCAUGAGGCAAUCAAAUAGCGAAGAUACUGUCGAGGUACAUUGAAUGAUAAAGACUUUAUAGGAAAACUGGAGGACUGUUCAUAGCAUUUGAGAGCACUAUAUUAUACAUACAUUGAAUAUUAUAGUAGAAGGUUAACAAGAAAGCUCAGUUUAUAAGGUAGCACAGACGUUUUUAGUUAAAAGAUAUUUGUGUAUUCGAUUCUGAUCGUCAACAAAAAAACUAACAAGAUAUCUUAUUUAUGUGAAAUUCAGCUUGUUUUAAAAUAUUUAUUUCCAGGUUUGUAUAAAAAAUUAAGAAUUUUUGGUUUCUCGGCCAAAGUGAUCUGAUCUCAUAUUCCGAUCUAGGCCAUUCUACAAAUAGCUACUCUCCAUUUGCUAACUCAGUUGAUCUUGAAGUUUAGGAUUUAUCGCGGGACCCAAUCAGUGUGUCCUUUAUUUAACGGUUCCAUGGUUAACACUCUUUAAGGGCUGCCUUGCCGCUUUAACCCAUGUCCGCCCACGAGCGCCCAUCCGUGACUAUGACGCCAACUCCCGGACUCCCGCACUCGUAUAUUCCGGCUCUGCUUCGAUACGGCAGCCCACACAUACACAUUCAACCCUCCCCCGGUGGCAGUGUCCCCUUAUAACACCCUGGACUGUUUAUAAAAUAACCUUAUUCUGCACAUAUACACGGGCUUUCGUUGUGCUUGUGUGUGUGUAAGCUCCAUCAGCCCCCACGGAGGGUUGGGCGAAUCUUCCUCUUCCCGAGACACCCUCUCUGCUAUUCCGUCUCUGUCUCUCUCUCUGGCACUUUAUGCCUGACAUUAUUAUAAUAUUAUAUUCUUUAUAAUAAUGGGUUGGCAGCACAGGCAGCCGAAAACCACCUACAUCCAUAUACCAGCCACCCAUCCACCAUCAGCCAUCCCAUAUCCUUCGCCUCAUCCUGUCCCACCCAACCCCUCUCAUCGAGUCGAGUUGGCGACCCUGCGCAGUAAAGUCGAACCGGCUUUUCUCUAUCGUACGACCCGACCGUACCUCGACCAAACCCCGACAUCCCCCUUAUAAAAUCAACCCAAACCACCCACUCUGAAUGCUCCUUGUGUUGGGUGUGGUGAGAUAUGCCGUGUGACGUAUAAAAGCUAAAAACGUUGGCAAAUAUAAUGAAAUUGGGUGAAAUGCUAUGCCACCCACUGUACCUCCCAUUAACCCCCAAGUUCUGGCAUAAUGAAGCCUACCAAACAGGACGAGAAAUACGAUGGGUUUUGGGUGGAUUGAUGGUGGUGGUGCUGCUGCUCUGCUGUCGGCGCUGGUGGUGGUGGUGGUUUUGGGCCAUCCACUAGUAUGAAAACCACUUUUCCAAUUGCACGUACACCACUACGUGGGCUGAGCAAAAGAGAAAGGGAGUGCGGAAGAGAGAAAGAGAGAUGGAAUGUUUCAAACCACUCCACUGCCUUCCUCUUUUUUGCCGUAUUCAGUUGGUGUUGUUGUUGUUGCGUGGGUGGUGGGGCGGUUGUCAGUGAGAGCAGCGAGAGAAAUGAAAAUGGAAGCGAGGACAUGCGGAGGAGGCAGAGUGAACAACUGUACACGGUGGAAAAUAAAAUUACGGAGGUUUUUUCAUAUGCGUAGACAUAUUUGUAUUUUAAAGGAUGCUUUCAAGCGCUGAAGUUGCUUAAGAUUCAGGACACCUUUCAUUUAUAACUAUUGCAUUUAUAACCAAAAUCCAAAAUCGAACUGAUUUUCAUUUUCGAUUCAGUUAUACUUCAAGUAGCACGUCAUUCGGGGCAUUAUUUUUGCCAGUGUGCUUGAGUGGGUGGGGAAUUGGGGUGGACUAUGUAGUGGUGAACUGGGAGGGCCAGUUAGCCUUGCUCUGUCGCUGCUCUGCGUACGAUAACUUUAAUUUGGCUUAAUGGAAAUUUUCGCUAGCGCUCUCGUAGUGCUGUUGUCCUUAAGCAAACCCGUGGAUGGUGCUCCUGUCUCGCUCUUCCACCCCAGCUUCCGUCUCUUUGGUCAGUUGUCUCAGUUGCCCAACUGGCCAUCGUCCAUGGUCUAUGGUCCGCGUGUUAAGUAGGUGACGCAACCGCAAAUUUGCGGCUUGCGAUUUAAUAAUGCUAAUGGUGUGCGUGUGCAAGUGCAUUGGUAGUUGGACAUUGCACGUGUAAUGGCUUCUGUUGUUGUUGUUGUUAGCGCCCUGGACCGCCUGAGAGUCACGUCAUCAUCACACGGCCGUCGUCGUCAUCGUCAUCGUCGAGCCAUUUACGUCGUCGCCAGCCGGUAAUUCCCCGAACUCAUACCCAAAGCCAUAGCCAUAGUCAUAGCCAUCGCCAUCGCCAUAGCCAUAUAGCCACAUCAUCCCCCCCCUCAGGUGGUGCAAACAAGUGCAAGUGAUGCGCAUUCAUUGAUAAGAUUUCGUGCCACAACUCGCCGAUGCCAGCUGUCUUUGUAUGUUGCCCGUGGAUGUGUGGGCAUACAUUAAGUCAAGCCAAGUCGAGCCAAGUCAAGACCGCGUUGCCAUAUACGCUCUGUGCGAGCAAAUCUUUCAAUCGGUCAACAGGGGACCUAAAGAGGCACAGUGAUUGUUUUACGGCCAACUUGCUGCGCUCUCUGUUGUGGUUGAAAAACAGCUGUGAGCAACGGCACAACUUGCAUGUCAUUAGUGAUAAGCACAAGUUUUGGCUGGAGCCGCUAGUGAUCCGCCUUCAAAUCCCUUAACUAGCCAACUUGAGGUUUGUUGAACCGACUGCCUACGAUAGCUCUUAUCUAGGGAUCUGAACUUAACCCUCGGGACAAUCGAGCGUCAUUAACAAGGGGCUCGGUUUUAUGGGUUAAUACAGCAACUGGAAUAUUAAUUGCUAUUGGUCUACCGAUAGUUAUUAAAAGUGUGCAAUGAUAAAGCAGUUUACAGUGGGUCAAAGUGUAGGUACUGAUUAUAUCUUAAUUGAGCAAUACUUUCGUGUCCAAGGUAUAAGACUUAAAAUAUAUCAUGAAGGUUAAGAGCUAACUACUGAGAAGUUCUUAAUACUUCGAGAAUUCAAGUACGCCGUCAUCUAGCAGGUCCAUAACUUAGUAGGAUGCAUUUCUUUCCUGUUUCACCUGCGGGACGACACAAGUCGUGACUGGGUCCCAAAUCGCUCAUGCGACGCGGUGCCAUCGCCCGUCCUCUUUCGUGGCAGUCUUUUGUUUACAUUUUUAGAAGACUGGUAACACAACAAAAGAAGAGAACAAAAACAAAAAAUUCCAACUCCUCCUCCUCUUAUUUGAUUAUACAUUCCUCAUUGAGCAAUUUGCGUUUUCGUGUUGCACUUGACCCAAGGAGCCGGCAACAAGUUAAGAUGCGAGGGUAAAUUAAGGGAGCCAGAGCAUCCAAGGAUAAUGGUAUUAUUGGGGCACGCUCACACACACACACACGUACACCCUCAGUGGCGUGGUUGAAGCCCCCUGAAGGCAUUUAUUUUAUGGCUGCCCCAGACACCAGACACAUGUGUGUGCGUAUCCUUCGCUCCACUCACACACUCAUGCAAAUAUAGCAGCGGCUAUGUGGCUAUAUGUGCAACCAAAGCGUAACCAAAACCAAACCAACCAAGUCGCGAUUUUCAUUCAUAAAAUCGAAGAGCCAAAGAAAAUGGGCAACGAAGGAGGCUGCUGCUGGUGCUGGUGCUGCGCAGCCAGCGUCGCUGCUACCAAUAACUCAAAAGGCGCGCGCAAUUCAGCGCACUUGUGUUAAUGUAUCUGAAAGUGAAAUCACCAAAGGCGGCCGCCUCCUAUAUUCCAUGUACACAUCCGUACCAUGCCGGUCCGGCGCCAACUCCAAACUAUUAUUUGCCAGGCCACCCGGCCCGUGCUUUAGCCUCUGCCUCUGCCUGUGCCUCUACUGCUGCCUCGGUCACAGCCGCAGUCGCAGUCGCGGUCACUGCCGCGGCUGAGGCUGACUGCGCUGCCUGCUCAAUUAAGUGAAUUAAGUCUCGUGCCGGAAUUUGCACCACCCCAAAAACCCCAAACCAAACGAGCAGCCAAAACGACGAGGAGGAACGAAAACAACAACAAUUCAGAGCAGCACAUAACCAUAAAGAACAAUUAAAAGAGCAGAACAAGAAAAGGAAUAAAGAUAAGGCGCUCAGAAUCAAGACUGCAACGAACGGGAAAUGCCCUUUGGCUCUGGGGAAAAGUAAACAAUCAGUGGUGAAGGCGUUGUGAGUUGCAUUUAUCGAAACGGAUUAUUGUGCAAUAGAGAAAGGUGUCGGGCAGGGUGAUCAUAAAAGAUACUUCCACUCGAAACUGCAACUUCCUCAAGUGAAAACAGUACUCGAAGAAAGAAAGGACGGUACCAAUUCUUGCGUGAAGAUUUGACUUCUUAUAAGAGGAUUUGUAAGUCAUAUUAAUGGAAUUGGACAUAUGCAAUUCUAUUAAUAUGACUUACAAAUAACUAUACAUACAUAUGUAAAUCGCAGAUUUUAAGAGUUAGAUAGAGGUUGUUGGGAUUAAGGUGCAACUGACAGAGAAAUCCAACUACAAGAUGUACGUUUAGUCUUAUAUCAUAUUAUUUAUCUAUGUAUGUAGUUUCUACAGGGAUUCAGUAACCUUUAAUGCAAUACAGCAAGGCCGUUUUGGAGUUCUACGUACUGGCGGAAAAUUCAGCAUGAACUCAACGCAUUGUACAACUUUUUCUUACUGUCGAAAGAACUAAGAAAUUAAUGCGAACUGCUCCGCUGCCGUCAAGGAAAGAGAAAACGUAAACAGAGCAAUGACGCUGACGCCGACGGCGACGCCAAAAAGUUUGUUGCUGUUUUCUGCGGGGGAGCUGUGUCUGUGGGCGGGUGGUUGGCGAGGGGGCGGUCUGAGAGAGCGAGCAUGAGGAGAGCCGAAAAAGAGCGUUUGCAUGUAAUUAAUUAAAAGGCCCCAAAAGUCAGCUGUCUGCUGCUUUGCUGCUGCCGACGCUGCUGCUGUCCAAUUGUUGCGUUGCAUUAGACAAGCGCAGCGGCUAAGCCGGCGACAGCGACGCCGACGGAGCUGUUGACGCAAGCAGCGGCUAUUUAGCAUAUUGUGCGAAUGUGUGCCAAUAGAUGGCGCUGCACGAUGCCUGGCACGGUCACAAAGUGCGAGGGAGAAGGACUGCCGCAGUUCAGACGGUUAUUACUGCACUGAAAAGCUGGCAAGUGUUAUUUUUGCUUAGAAAUGAGAAAGCCCACGAAUACCAAAAGCAUUUCUAAAGAUUAUGUUUUGAUAUGAAGUUAUACGGUUAAUAAAGCAUCCAUUUUACAUAGUUAUGUUAAAUAUAAAUAUGCUGUUAGAACUUGAUUACUGGUAUAAGAUACUUUUUUUAAUAACAAAUAUUUUAAAUAAUUUGUAAGUGACCAGUGUGUUAUCAAAAAUGUAAUGCGAAUCAAAUCGUAUUCUGUUUCAAACAGUGCAUAACUUGGGAUACAUUCAUUUCUUACUGUGUUUCGUCAGGGGUUUGGGUUUGGGUAUUAAAGGGGGCACUGGCCAGCCUGCUGGCUGCACGUGCAACUUGUGCAUUGUUUACAUUGCUGAAUGGCAGCAGCCACCGAGAGCGGGCAUUGUUGCUGUUCUUGGGUUCGCUGUCAUGUCCCUUUGUUGCCGAGAACCUUCAUUACUCCUUAUCCCUUGGAUUUGGCUGGUAUCCACCCACCUAAGUUUGCAUGUCAUGCCCAGAGCACCGCCACCACCAUCAUCAUCAUCGCCACCCACUUAGUCAAACACCCGCCCACGCAUUGCCAAUAAGCUCACAAACCACAUGUUGAAGCUACGCGCAUUUCGCAAGGAGACGCUGCAGGUGCGGCAUGCCACCUGAGAGAUUCACCAAUUGGCGGAGGCGCAACCACAACAUCGCCUUAUCAGUUCUAGACGAACUGAACUUGUGGCAAGUUCAAGUUACUGAUAAGUCAGUUUGAGGGAUUGGUAUUACUUGGAAUGUGAGCCAGGCGCUAAUCUCGCUCGUAGUUGAACUGUUAAGCUGGGAAUUCCGAAAAUCUUUGCUGUUUUCGUUGCUAACUGAUUAAACAUAUUGCAAUUUAAGUUUAGAAAAAAUACUUUUUUUUUAAAUCUUCCUGCAUUUUAGUAAAGUUAAUGGUAUAUUUAAAAUAUCGUUUUAAUACUCAGUUUAGUAAAUAAUUCCCAAUUUGGAAUUUCAAAAUUCAUUCAUUUAAAUUGAAAAGUUUGAAAACCCGCUUAUCUAUUAGUAUCUGUGAUCAGAGAAGAGUUCAGACACAUUUCGAAUUCCCCUUUAAAAAAUUGUUUAUAUCCCGAAAUUCUUAAAAAUACUUUUUAACCAAUCCUGGCAGGAUUUGGAAGACUCACCUCAGUGCACAUUUUCGGCUGGGCCGUUCCCAGGUUCACAACUUUUAUAGCCAAAUAGAUGGGAAACGAAAAAAAAGGUAACGCGUUGGAGUUUUUGUUCAGGGCGGUACGAUCCCUUUCAGUCAGUCACUGGGCGGCGUGGGCGGAUCAGAGGGCGGCCAGCAGGUGUCCCGAAGGAAUGCGGGACGAGCAGGCGUAGGAGCGACCCAAAGCGGCAUCACAGAACUUGGACGACAUGGCUGGCACUACUCAAACUGAUCGAUCUGUAUUUUAUGCAGUUCACUAUACUUUUUUAAAAUAUUUUUAUAUACUCCAGUUGACUUGAUUGAAUAUUUCACAUUUAACGGUGUGCACUUUUUCCGAGAAACAGUGUUUCGAGUUGAUAACUUUGAAUUACGCGCGCUUGGCGAACGGCUGGCGUUUACGUCGUUUUCGAAUUGGAGCUGUCGAGCGGGCACGGAGCAAAUGAGCGACGUGGACCUCGCAGCACCGUGCUAAAAUCACAAAUAAAACGCUCGGCGCUCAAGAAGCAGGCAGCAGGCAGCCAAACGGCAGGCACGCACACAGACGCAAGUAAAUGCACCCCUGUACGAGCACCGUUCGUGGCGAGUGCGAGCGAGCAAGCUGCAUACAGCUAUCUCCCUCGCGCGACGCGCACUUAUGUAAAAAGCAUUGAAACUGAACGAGUUUCUCGAUAGCAGCGGGGAUGGUGAGGAGAGAAAGAGCGGUGGGACUGACUGGGAGAGAGCGAGAGCGCGCACACACAACACAAUCACAAUACUGGGGCAUUGCCAGCUGUGUGUGAGGCCGAGCGGUGUUGCCAGCCACCAAUUUCAACCCAGCACAGCAAGGCAGAAAUCCCAACAACGAAAUAACGAACUACGGAAUAACGAACUACGAACAGCGAAGCGAAACGUUGUGCAAACCCAAAGCCAAAGCAAACCAAACCAGGCGCUUUGGCCCGCCGGUUUGUUCGGUAUUCGGUUCGAUUGUGGGAGCGGGUAUUUAAAAGAUACAAGCAACUGCCGUGGCGUUGCCAGAGUGCGGGGCUCGAUUUGAAAGUCGAUUGGGUUUUUGACAUCUUCAGAUAGCGAUCGGGUAGGGUUUUUUAAACUUUUCAGGGCUGAUAUAGAUAUAGAUAUAGAAAGAGAUACUAGAAUUGUAAAGACUUUAAUUUCUUGCAGCUACACAUUGUUAUUUAUCAGAAUGCAAUACCAACUCCCAUAUUCCAACAGUAUACGUUAAAAAUAUAAUGAUUUAUGUUUGUUCUUGGGAUUUUGAUAGCCAUGUUUAUUCUUAGUCAUUGUAAAAAUGUUUAAAUUGCUUGGUAUAUUAUUAUUAUAUUUUCUUACUUGAAAAAAAACAUUCUUUAACAUUCAGGUUUCAAAUGAAUAUCAAAGUUCAUAUUUAAUAGUCAAAAUUAUAGGACUGUGCUCAAAAUAUAAAAAAAUCGUACAUACUGUGCUCUAUAUACAACAUCAAUAGUUCUCAAGAGUCUAUAAUUUAAAUUACACUUAUAAGCUCUUAUUCUUUGAGCUGUUUACAUAAAUAUAAUAUAUAUACAACAUUAUAUAAUGAAUAUACUUUUCUAAAAGUAAUAUAGUUUUAAAAGGAACAUAUUUAGACACCCAGUACUUUUCCAAACCAGCCACAGAGUAAACCCCAUGACCGCGUAGAUUUCGGCCAUAUGGCAACCCUAUGCCGCACAAAUGCUGACUAACAGUCUACACCAAUACCACCAACGGUGUAUCUCUCGCCGCUGUGUGUGCGUGUAUCUGUGUGUCAGUCUUGCUUGUCAGUUGGGAUUUUGUUUCGUUUCGUAUCGGGUCGUUCGUUUUCGUUUAUAUAAAGGUACAUUUCCACAUGGGCACAUGCAUGGCAGUCUUUGUCAGUGUGUGUGCGUGUGUGAGUGGCAUGCGGCGAAGGCAGCGACAAAGCAAACUCAGGCAAAGCGACUGAAACGCUCGCUGGGAAAAGCAAAACUGAACUCGAGCUGCUAUUGCUGUUGCUGUUUCGCUGGCGACGUCGGCUUCUUCUCUUCUGGUCUCUCUCCUCUCCUCUUCCCUUCACUUCUCUUCUCUUCACCCCCCCUCUUUGUGGAAACAUUUUUGUUUAUUUCAGCGGCGCGCUCGUAUCUGUAUCUCAGAUGUUGGCUGACUGGUUCGCUUCGCACACUGGCAGUCGUAUCUGUAUCUGCCAGGUACUUUUUGCCCGCUUCGUGUGCGCUCUGUGCUAUUUUAUGCGCUAUUGCCAAGAUUGCUGUGCGAAUUUCGCCUUGAAACAUUUUUUGUUUUUCGUUUUUUCCCUGCUUUUCGCCCAGCUUAUCUCUUUUGGGCCAAAAAGUCGCUAAAUGAAAUGAAAAAAAGACAACUGCAUAUUGGCCAGAAAGAGCGCGCCAAUUCUAAUUCGCCUUCCCAAAGCGAACUCUUGAUUGAAGGUCAGCGCAGGAGAAGUCGAAGUCGGCCAGUCCGUCGCAGGCUGCGUACCAACGCUGACUGAUUGUUUUCGAGCUGCUGCCUGGCUCGGCAAAUGGGAUGGCCAAACCCAACCAAAAUCCAACCCAACCUAACCAAUUUUGCGUCGCAUAUUUAGCCGUAUCCUGCUCCGCUGCUUCCGUCACUGCCGCGUCUCAGUCGCUGAUGUCAUUACUUUGAGGCGAACGAGAUUGGGGUUUAUUUUUUAUUCCCCAUCGACAGGGGUCCAAAGGUAGUUCGGGUUCUCGUCCAGCUGAUGACGGACAUGCAACUGGUCGAGGCCAUCGCUAUUGGUUAUCAACUGUGGUACAAUGGGUCCACGGGUACUAUGUAUCUCGCGGGGAAGGGAUGACUGUACCAGAUGGUAGAGAGAAGCCUUACUGUUAUGGAGUAGUUGGACAAUCUAAAGGGAUCUGUGAUCUUCCUGAUUUCAUGCCAGCUUUGUAUGACAGAAAAAUGCAUAAUAUGAGCAAUCUAUUACUAGCGGGAUAGUAUUAACUUUACCAGAGAAAUAAAGCCUAUCUAUAAAGUAACUGAACGAUUAACCAAUAUAUAAUAAGGUUUUUAUAAAAGAUCAAAAA